CAAUAAAUCACAAUGCGGAACAAUGUUUUGCAAUUGGAUUGAGAACAACGUACAAACCUUAUCGAUAAACAAUUGGAGGGCAAGUCUGGUGCCAGCAGCCGCGGUAAUUCCAGCUCCAAUAGCGUAUAUUAACGUUGUUGCAGUUAAAAAGCUCGUAGUUGAAAUGAAGGGUGGUUGUGUAAUGAAUACAUUCGUGUAUUUUGUUAUUCUACUACCCUCCUUCUAAAUUCGAUAUAUGAGUAUUAAUUUACUUGUAUAUGGUUUUAGACGUUUACUGUGAGAAAAUUAGAGUGUUCAAAGCAGGCAUUUGCUUGAAUAUAUUAGCAUGGAAUAAUCAUGUAUGAUUUUCAUGAUGUAUUUGAUUGGUUUGGUUCAUGAGAAUAAGAUUAAAAGGGACAGUUGGGGGUAUUCAUAUUCAAUAGUCAGAGGUGAAAUUCUCGGAUUUAUGGAAGAUGAA
Molecule: ribosomal RNA, 457 nt
Filed under: Blastocystis sp.
Lineage: Eukaryota; Bigyra; Opalinata; Blastocystidae
Description: SSU rRNA
Rfam family: Eukaryotic small subunit ribosomal RNA
Source: RNAcentral